RNAcentral lists this ribosomal RNA (1310 nucleotides) under Arthrobacter globiformis. Its description in RNAcentral is "bacterial SSU rRNA". It matches the Rfam family "Bacterial small subunit ribosomal RNA", at positions 112 to 1432 of the family's 1533-position model. The record is from RNAcentral. Lineage: Bacteria; Bacillati; Actinomycetota; Actinomycetes; Micrococcales; Micrococcaceae.
AACACGUGAGUAACCUGCCCUUGACUCUGGGAUAAGCCUGGGAAACUGGGUCUAAUACCGGAUAUGACUCCUCAUCGCAUGGUGGGGGGUGGAAAGCUUUUGUGGUUUUGGAUGGACUCGCGGCCUAUCAGCUUGUUGGUGAGGUAAUGGCUCACCAAGGCGACGACGGGUAGCCGGCCUGAGAGGGUGACCGGCCACACUGGGACUGAGACACGGCCCAGACUCCUACGGGAGGCAGCAGUGGGGAAUAUUGCACAAUGGGCGCAAGCCUGAUGCAGCGACGCCGCGUGAGGGAUGACGGCCUUCGGGUUGUAAACCUCUUUCAGUAGGGAAGAAGCGAAAGUGACGGUACCUGCAGAAGAAGCGCCGGCUAACUACGUGCCAGCAGCCGCGGUAAUACGUAGGGCGCAAGCGUUAUCCGGAAUUAUUGGGCGUAAAGAGCUCGUAGGCGGUUUGUCGCGUCUGCCGUGAAAGUCCGGGGCUCAACUCCGGAUCUGCGGUGGGUACGGGCAGGCUAGAGUGAUGUAGGGGAGACUGGAAUUCCUGGUGUAGCGGUGAAAUGCGCAGAUAUCAGGAGGAACACCGAUGGCGAAGGCAGGUCUCUGGGCAUUAACUGACGCUGAGGAGCGAAAGCAUGGGGAGCGAACAGGAUUAGAUACCCUGGUAGUCCAUGCCGUAAACGUUGGGCACUAGGUGUGGGGGACAUUCCACGUUUUCCGCGCCGUAGCUAACGCAUUAAGUGCCCCGCCUGGGGAGUACGGCCGCAAGGCUAAAACUCAAAGGAAUUGACGGGGGCCCGCACAAGCGGCGGAGCAUGCGGAUUAAUUCGAUGCAACGCGAAGAACCUUACCAAGGCUUGACAUGGACCGGACCGCCGCAGAGAUGUGGUUUCUCCUUUUGGGGCCGGUUCACAGGUGGUGCAUGGUUGUCGUCAGCUCGUGUCGUGAGAUGUUGGGUUAAGUCCCGCAACGAGCGCAACCCUCGUUCCAUGUUGCCAGCGCGUAAUGGCGGGGACUCAUGGGAGACUGCCGGGGUCAACUCGGAGGAAGGUGGGGACGACGUCAAAUCAUCAUGCCCCUUAUGUCUUGGGCUUCACGCAUGCUACAAUGGCCGGUACAAAGGGUUGCGAUACUGUGAGGUGGAGCUAAUCCCAAAAAGCCGGUCUCAGUUCGGAUUGGGGUCUGCAACUCGACCCCAUGAAGUCGGAGUCGCUAGUAAUCGCAGAUCAGCAACGCUGCGGUGAAUACGUUCCCGGGCCUUGUACACACCGCCCGUCAAGUCACGAAAGUUGGUAACACCCGAAGCCGGUG